This is a long non-coding RNA of Hyla sarda, 537 nucleotides long. RefSeq lists it as uncharacterized. The record is from RefSeq and is a predicted model, not a curated record. The transcript has 3 exons. Lineage: Eukaryota; Metazoa; Chordata; Amphibia; Anura; Hylidae.
UGUGUUUGGACUUUUCCUUUUAUAUUCUAUGGUUUCCUGUCCCUAAGGAAGCCGAAGUAUGUCCAGGUCCAUAGUGGCCAAAAUAUUGAGAUAGACUCGGCAAUCUGACAACCAACAAGCAAGUGCUGAACGCUGAGAGUGUGGCGCUAAAAUUUUGCUGUUCCAAACACAGGCUAGAAAAGUAGCAGAGACUCAAAUCAAAUAAAUCUUUAUUCACACUUGUGUCAUGACUGAUCCUUAACCACAAUGAUGGAUGCUCCAGGUCCCCGGGAUGGAAUGCACCAAUUUAACAGCACACAAUGGGAAUUUCAAUCACCUACCUCUGGGAUACCGAGCAACAUAUGCAUGUGAAAGUGAUAGUGUUGGAAAAGAUCAUUCCUUGUAUCCGUUUGCUGAAAGGAUCGAACGUGGGUCAAGAUUUAGAAACAGUGAUGUCUUCUAUCUGGAAGCCAAAUAAGUUUAUGCCAAGAUUAUAAUGUAUCCCCUAUACAGAGGAUAAUGAGAUGGCUGAUUGCUAGUAUUUCCCAACCAACUUGC